This is a non-coding RNA of Felis catus (domestic cat), 85 nucleotides long. Lineage: Eukaryota; Metazoa; Chordata; Mammalia; Carnivora; Felidae. The record is from Rfam.
GCCUGGGUGGCUCAGUCGGUUAAGCGUCUGACUUCAGCUCAGGUCACGAUCUCGCGGUCCGUGUGUUCAAGCCCCGCGUCAGGCU